This 247-nucleotide ribosomal RNA is filed under the name uncultured bacterium. RNAcentral describes it as "partial small subunit ribosomal RNA". It matches the Rfam family "Bacterial small subunit ribosomal RNA", at positions 26 to 285 of the family's 1533-position model. The record is from RNAcentral.
AGAAUCAACGCUGGCGGCGUGCCUAACACAUGCAAGUCGCACGAGAAAGGGGACUUCGGUCCCUGAGUACAGUGGCGCACGGGUGAGUAACACGUGAAUAAUCUACCUCCGAGUGGGGAAUAACUGAGAGAAAUCUUAGCUAAUACCGCGUAACACUUACGAGUCAAAGCAGCAAUGCGCUUGGAGAGGAGUUCGCGGCAGAUUAGUUAGUUGGCGGGGUAAUGGCCCACCAAGACGAUGAUCUGUA